Molecule: ribosomal RNA, 415 nt
Filed under: uncultured prokaryote
Description: bacterial SSU rRNA
Rfam family: Bacterial small subunit ribosomal RNA
Source: RNAcentral
UGAGGAAUUUUGCGCAAUGGGGGAAACCCUGACGCAGCAACGCCGCGUGGGUGAUGAAGGCCUUCGGGUCGUAAAGCCCUGUCGGGCGGGAAGAACGUCCCUUCGGGGAAUGACGGUACCGCCAGAGGAAGCACCGGCUAACUCCGUGCCAGCAGCCGCGGUAAUACGGAGGGUGCAAGCGUUAUUCGGCAUUACUGGGCGUAAAGGGCGUGCAGGCGGGAGAGCAAGUCUGAUGUGAAAGCCCGGGGCUUAACCCCGGAAGGGCAUUGGAAACUGCUUUUCUUUAGUUCUGGAGAGGAAGGGAGAAUUCCCGGUGUAGAGGGGAAGGUCGUAGAGAUCGGGAGGAACAUCAGUGGCGAAGGCGCCCUUCGGGACAGCAACUGACGCUGAGACGCGAAAGCGUGGGGAGCAAACA